UAGCAAUCUAAUUACUGUUAGAAGCCACUACAACACUCAACAUUGGCUAGAGGUUGACAAAAAUUAUCAGUGCCUGCAAAGUUAGAACAUUUGAACAAAUAGUUACAGCUGUCUUGGAGAAUGCUCCACCACGACUUCAACAUGUUCUACAUUUCCAUCGCUGUCAGGUGCUGAUGUUGGGGCUCCGUUCUCAACUCUUGAUUGAGCAGCUGCAUUUUCCUCACUGCUUGGACCAGCAUUCUCUGUGCGCACAGGACGGAGAAAACCUUGCAACCUCAGCAGAUAGCUCUGGCUAGAAGGUUGGGAUCUCACAUACCGGGCUGCUGUCACAAUGUUGG
This 338-nucleotide unclassified non-coding RNA is filed under the name Hevea brasiliensis (rubber tree). Lineage: Eukaryota; Viridiplantae; Streptophyta; Magnoliopsida; Malpighiales; Euphorbiaceae. The record is from RNAcentral.